AUCUACGACCAUGCCACCCUGAGCAAGCCCAAUCGCUUCUGAUUUCGAAAGCUAAGCAGGGUUGGGCCUGGUUAGUACUUGGAUGAGAGCCCACCUAGGAAGACCAGGUGCUGUAGGCA
RNAcentral lists this ribosomal RNA (119 nucleotides) under Pteropus alecto (black flying fox). Lineage: Eukaryota; Metazoa; Chordata; Mammalia; Chiroptera; Pteropodidae. The record is from RNAcentral.